This 150-nucleotide non-coding RNA is filed under the name Leisingera methylohalidivorans. RNAcentral describes it as "FMN sequence". It matches the Rfam family "FMN riboswitch aptamer (RFN element)". Rfam says of the family: The RFN element is a highly conserved domain that is found frequently in the 5'-untranslated regions of prokaryotic mRNAs that encode for flavin mononucleotide (FMN) biosynthesis and transport proteins. This element is a metabolite-dependent riboswitch that directly binds FMN in the absence of proteins. In Bacillus subtilis, the riboswitch most likely controls gene expression by causing premature transcription termination within the 5' untranslated region of the ribDEAHT operon and precluding access to the ribosome-binding site of ypaA mRNA. The record is from RNAcentral. Lineage: Bacteria; Pseudomonadati; Pseudomonadota; Alphaproteobacteria; Rhodobacterales; Roseobacteraceae.
CGCCGUUCUCAGGGCGGGGCGGAAUUCCCCACCGGCGGUAAGCGGGCCAAGCCCCGCAAGCCCGCGAGCGGCUUCCGGAAACCGGAAGUGUCAGCAGAUCUGGUGCAACUCCAGAGCCGACGGUCACAGUCCGGAUGGAAGAGAACGUGC